UCGAGGAGACUCACGCAAUACUUAAUACUCCAUGAAAUUAAAAAGGUAUUUCCCCCAUGGCUGAUUUUUUUUCUUUUGAGAAAUGGUUUACAAAUGAUUCGAUCCCUCCCCAUGGCUGGAUUUCCGAAUGAACAAGUGGAUUAAUCAUUCAUAAACCGAAUGUACAAAAACAAAUAAUGAAGGUGUUAAAUCUCGAUCGUUGGAUUUACAUGAGUUAGACCAACUCCGUCGGGGGAGUCCUUAGAGUAGGUUCCAAAAAAAUAAAGGCAAAAAAAUAAAUGAAAAAGAAAAAGAAAAAGAAAACAUAAAACCGGUCUUAAAUUUGAGAUUUUAAGGAGUGGUAAGAAUCCAUAUGUGGC
Molecule: long non-coding RNA, 359 nt
Filed under: Brassica napus (rape)
Lineage: Eukaryota; Viridiplantae; Streptophyta; Magnoliopsida; Brassicales; Brassicaceae
Description: long non-coding RNA (BNAP_LNC011304)
Source: RNAcentral